GGAAGGCCCAUCCUCCCUCCCUCCUGCCUGCCGGGAACCGUGGACGCGCCAUCUGCCGGCGUCAAAAUAACUCGCAGGGCAAUGAGAUGUUUCUCCACAUAUUUUUUUUACAUAUUCGGAAAAGUUGGUGUCGGUGUCAAGGCUGCACUAAAAGAACAUUAAGAAAGAGAAGAAUAAGCCAGGGCCGGAUUUAGAUGAAGAGAGGCCCUAGGCUAUUCCACUUGUGAGGCCCCUCCCAAUCCGCCACCCCCACGAUGAGAGGAAGAUGGAAGAGUACACCAGUUUCACACCGAUGUGCAGCCGAACAUGGCCAAUGAGACACGGGCAGGAAAGCUGCGCUUUUUAUUUAUUGCCAGUGCUAGUGUCGAGUUAUCGGCUUAAAACACUGUUAUUCUGAAAUGGAGGGCAAGGAAAAUUACUGAAGUGUUGUUGAGAGACUACAGUGCGUUGUGACAGCAUAUGUAAGAAAGGCACAUGACAGUGUCAAAGAUAUUAUACACCAGGCCCAUACGAAGCUUUUCAAAAAGCUGGUGGCAUGGCAGGAUUACAAAAAUCUUGCGUGAAAUAAGUGCAUGCAACGCAUAUCACAAGCGUGAAGCUCAAAGACCCUUGCGGCCGGGGUUUAGAUGCUCUCUGGUGCAUUCUGAGCCUUAUUUUGGAGCAUUUCUGCACCAAAUAUAUGACCAAUAUUUCAGAAAUAAUUUUGGUUGAGUCAAGAGUAAUGAGUAUCUAAGAUGCUGGAAAAUCAAAGGUAGACAAAAGUGCUGGAGAAUCAGCGGGUGCAGCAGCAUCUAUGGAGCGAAGGAAAUAGGCAUCGUUUCGGGCCGAAACCCUUCUUCAGACUGAGUAAUGAGUGGUUGGAAUGGGAUGAUUGGGGUCAUGGUUGUAUAGAUUUUUUUAAUCAAGAAUUGAAGCUGUCCUUGUUUUAAUAAUCAAGUUGUACUGUAAAAUGUUAGGUAAAAUGUUAUAAAGGAGCAUGCAAACGUUGCAAAUAAAAUACUGCAAUUUUUUGCAGUAAAUAAAACCUUUUUUUAGAAAAUGUUU
Molecule: long non-coding RNA, 1044 nt
Organism: Leucoraja erinaceus (little skate)
Lineage: Eukaryota; Metazoa; Chordata; Chondrichthyes; Rajiformes; Rajidae
Exons: 3
Source: RefSeq, a predicted model, not a curated record